GGGCGUAUGGCUCAGAUGGCUAGAGCGCUGCCUUCACACGGCAGAGGUCACAGGUUCGAUUCCUGUUACGCCCA
Molecule: transfer RNA, 74 nt
Filed under: Microthrixaceae bacterium
Lineage: Bacteria; Bacillati; Actinomycetota; Acidimicrobiia; Acidimicrobiales; Microthrixaceae
Description: tRNA-Val
Rfam family: tRNA
About the family: Transfer RNA (tRNA) molecules are approximately 80 nucleotides in length. Their secondary structure includes four short double-helical elements and three loops (D, anti-codon, and T loops).
Source: RNAcentral